GACGAACGCUGGCGGCGUGCUUAACACAUGCAAGUCGAACGGAAAGGCCCUGCUUUUGUGGGCUUCUCGAGUGGCUAACGGGUGAGUAACAAGUGAGUAACCUGCCCUUUACUUUGGGAUAACUUCAGGAAACUGGGGCUAAUACCGGAUCGUAGCUCCUGCUGCAUGGUGGGGGUUGGAUAGUUUCGGCGGUUGGUGAUGGACUCGCGGCUUAUCAGCUUGUUGGUGGGGUAGUGGCUUACCAAGGCUUUGAAGGGCAGCCGUCCUGAGAGGGUGACCGGCGACAUGGGGACUGAGAUACGGAGCAGACUCGUACGGGAGGCAGUAGUGGGGAAUAUGACACAAUGGGCGGAAGCCUGAGGAAGAAACGCCGGGUGCGGGAUGAAGGCCUUCGGGUGGUGAACCGAUUAAGCCUGUGACGAAGCGUGAGUGACGGUAAUGGGUAAAGAAGCACCGGCUAACUACGUG
Molecule: ribosomal RNA, 468 nt
Filed under: uncultured bacterium
Lineage: Bacteria
Description: partial 16S ribosomal RNA
Rfam family: Bacterial small subunit ribosomal RNA
Source: RNAcentral